UACGGAGGGUGCAAGCGUUAUCCGGAUUCACUGGGUUUAAAGGGUGCGUAGGCGGAUAGGUAAGUCCGGGGUGAAAUCCUCCAGCUCAACUGGAGAACAGCCUUGGAUACUGGUCGCCUCGAGGGAGGUAGGGGCGGGCGGAACUUCCGGUGGAGCGGUGAAAUGCGUAGAUAUCGGAAGGAACGCCGGUGGCGAAAGCGGCCCGCUGGACCUCUUCUGACGCUGAGGCGCGAAAGCCAGGGGAGCAAACGGG
This 253-nucleotide ribosomal RNA is filed under the name uncultured bacterium. RNAcentral's name for it is "partial 16S ribosomal RNA". It matches the Rfam family "Bacterial small subunit ribosomal RNA", at positions 524 to 776 of the family's 1533-position model. The record is from RNAcentral.